This 65-nucleotide transfer RNA is filed under the name Dipodomys ordii (Ord's kangaroo rat). It matches the Rfam family "tRNA". Rfam says of the family: Transfer RNA (tRNA) molecules are approximately 80 nucleotides in length. Their secondary structure includes four short double-helical elements and three loops (D, anti-codon, and T loops). Further hydrogen bonds mediate the characteristic L-shaped molecular structure. tRNAs have two regions of fundamental functional importance: the anti-codon, which is responsible for specific mRNA codon recognition, and the 3' end, to which the tRNAs corresponding amino acid is attached (by aminoacyl-tRNA synthetases). tRNAs cope with the degeneracy of the genetic code in two manners: having more than one tRNA (with a specific anti-codon) for a particular amino acid; and 'wobble' base-pairing, i.e. permitting non-standard base-pairing at the 3rd anti-codon position. The record is from Rfam by way of RNAcentral. Lineage: Eukaryota; Metazoa; Chordata; Mammalia; Rodentia; Heteromyidae.
GGUGGCUCAGUGGCAGAGUGCUUGCCUAGCAUGCAUGAAGUCCUGGGUUCGAUUCCUCAGCACCA